RNAcentral lists this ribosomal RNA (500 nucleotides) under uncultured bacterium. RNAcentral's name for it is "partial 16S ribosomal RNA". It matches the Rfam family "Bacterial small subunit ribosomal RNA", at positions 28 to 507 of the family's 1533-position model. The record is from RNAcentral.
GAUGAACGCUGGCGGCGUGCCUAAUACAUGCAAGUCGAACGCGCCGAGACGGCUACUUGUUCCUUUCCACGCGAGUAGCGAGCGAGUGAGUCAUACGUGAGCAACCUACCCUUCAGCGGGGGAUAACCAUCGGAAACGCUAACUCAUACUACAUAGUCGUUCUAGUUGCUUGACUGGGAUGGGUAACACCGCUUCGGGUGUCACUGGCGGCUGGUCCCGCGGUGCAUUAGCUAGACGGUGGGGUAACGGCCUACCGUGGCGUGGAUGCAUAGCCGACCUGGGAGGGUGAUCGGCCACAUUGGGACUGAGACACGGCCCAUACUCCUGCGGGAGGCAGCAGUAGGGAAUCGUCCGCAAUGGACGGAAGUCUGACGGAGCAACGCCGCGUGUGUGAAGAAGGUCUUCGGAUCGUAAAGCACUGUUAUCAGAGAAGAAUAGCCUAUAGAGUAACUGUUAUAGGUUUGACGGUAACUGAUCAGAAAGCCACGGCUAACUACGUG